This 260-nucleotide ribosomal RNA is filed under the name uncultured bacterium. RNAcentral's name for it is "partial small subunit ribosomal RNA". It matches the Rfam family "Bacterial small subunit ribosomal RNA", at positions 26 to 287 of the family's 1533-position model. The record is from RNAcentral.
AGAUUGAACGCUGGCGGCAUGCUUUACACAUGCAAGUCGAGCGGCAGCGCGGGGGCAACCCUGGCGGCGAGCGGCGAACGGGUGAGUAAUACAUCGGAACGUAUCCCGUAGAGGGGGAUAGCCCGGCGAAAGCCGGAUUAAUACCGCAUAUGCUCUACGGAGGAAAGUGGGGGACUCGCAAGGGCCUCACGCUAUGGGAGCGGCCGAUGGCCGAUUAGCUAGUUGGUGGGUAAAGGCCUACCAAGGCGACGAUCGGUAGC